GAAAUUUCAGUAUCUUAUAUAACCCUUGAAAAGACAGAACUUGUGAAAAAUAUACUUAGUUUCUUCAAAAAUGUUAAGAAUUUAACUUAUCAGGUAGCGCAAAAUGAAUGUGAUGUUUUAUUUGUGUCCUCACCAUGGUGGAGGGAGCAUAAAGUUUUGUCCUUAGGUAUGUCUGUCUGUCUGUACAUCCAAAAACUAGUUUCCUUUCUCUAACUUAAUUAUGUCUCAACAAAAUGUUAUAAAACUUAAACACAAUGCUUAUUACCACCAAACACAUCAAGUUUGAAUUUAAGUGGUGUCACUUUCAUUGUUCUUGAGUAAUGUCCCUUCAUGAACGCAAUUUGGCAAAUUUGCAGUUUCCAGAAUCCAACUUUAUAUUGACUCAACCAAAUAAUAUGAAACUUCUACACAAUGCUUAUUACCAUAAAAUACAGAUCAAGUCCAAAAUUAGGGUGGUGUCUCUUUCUUCAGUUACAUCCCUUUGUAAAUGGAAAAAUUGCAGAAUUUGCUGUACAUUUAUAAGUGGGGGCAUUUGUGUCCCAGGAACGUAUUCUUUAUUUAUUUUUCUUUAAUUUUUAUUGCAAAGCAUAGAAUUAAAGAAUUCUUCUUCAUGUAAAUUAAUAUUUAUAAAGUUUGUAUGAUGGAUAAACAGAAGUUUUUAAUUAUAUAUCCAAAUAUUAAUAAUUAAUCUCUUUCCUAUAGGAUUAAUAAAGGAAGCAUUUGAAAUUGUAUUUAAAAAGAAAAUGUCACACUUGUUAUUCAUGUAAACUUCUG
Molecule: long non-coding RNA, 774 nt
Filed under: Mytilus galloprovincialis (Mediterranean mussel)
Lineage: Eukaryota; Metazoa; Mollusca; Bivalvia; Mytilida; Mytilidae
Source: RNAcentral